RNAcentral lists this ribosomal RNA (207 nucleotides) under uncultured bacterium. Its description in RNAcentral is "partial 16S ribosomal RNA". It matches the Rfam family "Bacterial small subunit ribosomal RNA", at positions 568 to 774 of the family's 1533-position model. The record is from RNAcentral.
CUCGUAGGUGGUUCGGUAAGUCGGAUGUGAAAUCUCCAGGCUCAACCUGGAGGGGUCAUUCGAUACUGCCGUGACUAGAGGUCGGUAGGGGAGUGUGGAAUUCCUGGUGGAGCGGUGAAAUGCGCAGAUAUCAGGAGGAACACCCGUAGCGAAGGCGGCACUCUGGCCGAUACUGACACUGAGGAGCGAAAGCGUGGGGAGCGAACA